CCUACGGGAGGCUGCAGUGGGGAAUAUUGCGCAAUGGGCGAAAGCCUGACGCAGCAACGCCGCGUGCGGGAUGACGGCCUUCGGGUUGUAAACCGCUUUCAGCAGGGACGAAGGGUUUCUGACGGUACCUGCAGAAGAAGCACCGGCUAACUACGUGCCAGCAGCCGCGGUGAUACGUAGGGUGCGAGCGUUGUCCGGAAUUAUUGGGCGUAAAGAGCUUGUAGGCGGUCCGUUGCGUCGGAAGUGAAAACUCGGGGCUUAACCCCGAGCCUGCUUUCGAUACGGGCGGACUUGAGGGAUGUAGGGGAGAACGGAAUUCCUGGUGGAGCGGUGGAAUGCGCAGAUAUCAGGAGGAACACCAGUGGCGAAGGCGGUUCUCUGGACAUUUCCUGACGCUGAGAAGCGAAAGCGUGGGGAGCAAACAGGCUUAGAUACCCGAGUAGUC
RNAcentral lists this ribosomal RNA (445 nucleotides) under uncultured Propionicimonas sp. RNAcentral describes it as "bacterial SSU rRNA". It matches the Rfam family "Bacterial small subunit ribosomal RNA", at positions 338 to 795 of the family's 1533-position model. The record is from RNAcentral. Lineage: Bacteria; Bacillati; Actinomycetota; Actinomycetes; Propionibacteriales; Nocardioidaceae.